GGGAGGCUCAGGCACGGCUGGGCUGCAGGUCCGGAGCCCUGCCCCGCGGGAAGGCAGCUAAGGACGGGCGAGAAAUUAAGCACAGCAGCUGCUGGCCCAGGUGCUAAGCCCCUCACUGCCUGGGGCUGGCGGGGCCGGCAGGCCGCUCCGAGUGCGGGCCCGCCGAGCCUACGCCCACCCGGAACUCGCGCUGGCCCGGAAGCACCGCGCGCAGCCCCGGUUCCGGCCCGCGCCUCUCCCUCCACACCUCCCCACAAGCUGAGGGAGCCGGCUGCGGCCUUCGCCAGCCCAGAAAGGGGCUCCUACAGUGCAGUGGCGGGCUGAAGGGCUGCUCAAGCGCCGCCAAAGUGGGAGCCCAGGCAGAGGAGGCGCCCAGAGCGAGCGAGGGCUGUGAGGACUGCCAGCACGCUGUCACCUCUCACUCAUAUAGAUUGCCAAUCUAUUUGUGAACCAGGUUUGCUGGAGUUUGGAUUUACUACUGAGUCAUAUUUGGAGCAUGCUGGAAUCUUACAACUGAGAUUACCGAGUCAGAAACUUGCAAACAUGAGUAACAUGGCCCUGCUCUGGAGACUACUGGGAACACAAACACAGCCAUUUAAGACAUCUACCUGCUUCUCCUUUGCCUUCCAUCAUGACUGAAAGUUGUCUGAGGUCUCCCAGCCACGUGUCCUGUACAGCCUGUGGAACUGUCACACUGAAUUUGGACACUGGAGAAGAGAAAGGAGAAGGCCAUUCUGGCUACCCUAGGACUCAGAGACGACUUUAAAGAAGAAUCAGAAAAUGGAGACUGGGAUUGGAAGCAGAGAUCCGAUGGCCAAAUUACAGUCUGCCACUGAAGCUAACACACCUAUGGUUUCAGAGUAUUCUUUAGUCUCUUCCACCAUGUGAGGGCACAGUGAAAGGAAGGACUUCUAUGGAGCAGAAUGUGGGCCCUUACCAACACUGAGUCUUCCAUUGCCUUGACCUUUAACUUCCCGGCCUUCACAACAGUGAGAAAUAAAUUUCUGUAG
This 1010-nucleotide long non-coding RNA is filed under the name Homo sapiens (human). Its description in RNAcentral is "HSALNT0144622". Lineage: Eukaryota; Metazoa; Chordata; Mammalia; Primates; Hominidae. The record is from RNAcentral.